RNAcentral lists this transfer RNA (75 nucleotides) under Paenactinomyces guangxiensis. Its description in RNAcentral is "tRNA-Gln". It matches the Rfam family "tRNA". Rfam says of the family: Transfer RNA (tRNA) molecules are approximately 80 nucleotides in length. Their secondary structure includes four short double-helical elements and three loops (D, anti-codon, and T loops). Lineage: Bacteria; Bacillati; Bacillota; Bacilli; Caryophanales; Thermoactinomycetaceae. The record is from RNAcentral.
UGGGGAGUAGCCAAGCGGUAAGGCAACGGACUUUGACUCCGUCAUGCGUAGGUUCGAUCCCUACCUCCCCAGCCA